This 481-nucleotide ribosomal RNA is filed under the name uncultured bacterium. RNAcentral's name for it is "partial 16S ribosomal RNA". It matches the Rfam family "Bacterial small subunit ribosomal RNA", at positions 28 to 507 of the family's 1533-position model. The record is from RNAcentral.
GAUGAACGCUGGCGGCGUGCCUAACACAUGCAAGUCGAACGGAGAUUACGGACGGAUGUUUUCGGAUGGAAGCCUGUAAUUCUUAGUGGCGGACGGGUGAGUAACGCGUGGGCAACCUGCCCUAUCCAGGGGGAUAGCAGCUGGAAACGGCUGGUAAGACCGCAUAAGUCGGUUAAAUCGCAUGAUUUGAUCGGGAAAUGAGCAAUCAGGUAUAGGAUGGGCCCGCGUCCGAUUAGCCAGGUGGCAGGGUAAAAGCCUACCAAAGCGACGAUCGGUAGCCGGACUGAGAGGUCGGCAGGCCACAUUGGGACUGAGACACGGACCAAACUCCUACGGGAGGGAGCAGUGGGGGAUAUUGCACAAUGGAGGAAACUCUGAUGAAGCGACGCCGCGUGAGUGAAGAAGUAUUUCGGUAUGUAAAGCUCUAUCAGCAGGGAAGAUGAUGACGGUACCUGACUAAGAAGCCCCGGCUAACUACGUG